GGGGAAUUUUGGACAAUGGGCGCAAGCCUGAUCCAGCCAUGCCGCGUGAGUGAAGAAGGCCUUCGGGUUGUAAAGCUCUUUCGGUGGGGAAGAAAUUGCUUCGGCUAAUACCUGGAGUAGAUGACGGUACCCGCAUAAGAAGCACCGGCUAACUACGUGCCAGCAGCCGCGGUAAUACGUAGGGUGCGAGCGUUAAUCGGAAUUACUGGGCGUAAAGCGUGCGCAGGCGGUUGUAUAAGUCAGAUGUGAAAUCCCCGGGCUCAACCUGGGAACUGCAUUUGAGACUGUACGGCUAGAGUUUGGCAGAGGGGGGUGGAAUUCCACGUGUAGCAGUGAAAUGCGUAGAGAUGUGGAGGAACACCGAUGGCGAAGGCAGCCCCCUGGGCCAAUACUGACGCUCAUGCACGAAAGCGUGGGGAGCAAAC
RNAcentral lists this ribosomal RNA (425 nucleotides) under uncultured bacterium. RNAcentral's name for it is "bacterial SSU rRNA". It matches the Rfam family "Bacterial small subunit ribosomal RNA", at positions 356 to 773 of the family's 1533-position model. The record is from RNAcentral.